This 357-nucleotide ribosomal RNA is filed under the name Triticum aestivum (bread wheat). RNAcentral describes it as "partial small subunit ribosomal RNA". The record is from RNAcentral. Lineage: Eukaryota; Viridiplantae; Streptophyta; Magnoliopsida; Poales; Poaceae.
AUGGGCCCGCUCCCAAGUGCGUCUGCACACCGGCCACUCACGCCGGGUCCUUCAAGUGCCGCUUCCACCGCACCAACUCCUAGGGCCACGGCCACGGCCACGGCCAGGGAAGCCGUCCUUCUUCGCCCCCUUCACCGGCCGCAGCCAACGCGGUGCCGUGGCACCCGGCCUCGCCGUCCUCGUCCUCCGGCACCGUCGCGACCCAGUGACGCAGCCCAAGCAUCGGUCUCGAGAAUCAAGAAUGCUCGACAACGGAGAGGGAAGGGAAGAUCAUAUACAUGUUAUAAGAAAGGGAGUUUAUUUACUGCUUCCUCUAUGUAUUGUUUUCUUUGUUUGGAGAUUGAUUACCAUCCGUGA